GGUGCAGUGAGUCCUGGGGAGAGUGUUUUCAAGAGAUUUGAUAAUAUGCGGAAUAGUUUGGGUUUGUUAAAGAAGAAAGAGAAGACGCCCAAACGAGAACCCAUGACCCCUGUACCUGAUGCAGAGGUCACAGCACAGAACACAGAGGUCAAAAAGGUCACGCAAAGGGCAGAGGUCAGCGAGUCAUACACCCUGCCCCCCGUUCCCUCCACAUCACCCUCAGGUGCAGUGAGUCCUGGGGAGAGUGUUUUCAAGAGAUUUGAUAAUAUGCGGAAUAGUUUGGGUUUGUUAAA
Molecule: long non-coding RNA, 293 nt
Organism: Clupea harengus (Atlantic herring)
Lineage: Eukaryota; Metazoa; Chordata; Actinopteri; Clupeiformes; Clupeidae
Exons: 2
Source: RefSeq, a predicted model, not a curated record